RNAcentral lists this ribosomal RNA (323 nucleotides) under Umbilicaria virginis. RNAcentral describes it as "partial 18S ribosomal RNA". The record is from RNAcentral. Lineage: Eukaryota; Fungi; Ascomycota; Lecanoromycetes; Umbilicariales; Umbilicariaceae.
UUCUUGGGUCCAUUUAGAGGAAGUAAAAGUCGUAACAAGGUCCCCCGGCGUAGGCCACGGCGUCCUCCUCGUUGAAAGGACGCCGGGGCUCUCGCACCUAUGGAAGCCUUGCACUCCAGUCUAUCCCGCAUAGGCAACAUCGACAUGGUGCUGGGAUUUCGCCCUCGCCGGUGGAUACCAGCAGCCGCUCGCGCGGCUCACAGAUCAAACGUUGGUGGCUCAGUGAGGUCGUGACCUCCCAUCGAGUUCAGAUAUGACCGGCCCCGUUGCGAAAGUGCCGGGAACCGUCGCGUUCCGUAGGUGAACCUGCGGAAGGAUCAUUA